This 244-nucleotide non-coding RNA is filed under the name Enterocloster asparagiformis. Its description in RNAcentral is "Clostridium asparagiforme T-box sequence". It matches the Rfam family "T-box leader". From Rfam's summary of the family: Uncharged tRNA acts as the effector for transcription antitermination of genes in the T-box leader family. T-boxes are found upstream of many aminoacyl-tRNA synthetase genes and some amino acid biosynthetic genes usually in Gram-positive bacteria. The record is from RNAcentral. Lineage: Bacteria; Bacillati; Bacillota; Clostridia; Lachnospirales; Lachnospiraceae.
AAUAAACCGUUGAGAAAGAGGAGUAAGCUUCCAGACGUUUUAUCACAGAGAGCCGCAGGUGGUGGGAUUGCGGUAUAGGACAGGCGGCUGAAUGGACUUUCGAGGGCGGUCCUGAACGGACGAACGUCUCUGUAUGGACCGACGGAUUCCGCAACCGUUAAUCGUGCGGCGCAUAUGUUUGUAUGUGUAGAGUGGACUGUUUAGUCAAUAUUGAGUGGCACCGCGGAUUUUAUUCGUCUCAAUC